RNAcentral lists this transfer RNA (73 nucleotides) under Actinoplanes lutulentus. RNAcentral's name for it is "tRNA-Cys". It matches the Rfam family "tRNA". From Rfam's summary of the family: Transfer RNA (tRNA) molecules are approximately 80 nucleotides in length. Their secondary structure includes four short double-helical elements and three loops (D, anti-codon, and T loops). The record is from RNAcentral. Lineage: Bacteria; Bacillati; Actinomycetota; Actinomycetes; Micromonosporales; Micromonosporaceae.
GGACCCGUAGCGCAGCGGCAGUCGCGCCGCCCUGCAAAGGCGGAGGACGCCGGUUCGAAUCCGGUCGGGUCCC